This 280-nucleotide unclassified non-coding RNA is filed under the name fungal sp. RNAcentral describes it as "partial internal transcribed spacer region". The stretch from base 1 to 46 matches the Rfam family "Eukaryotic small subunit ribosomal RNA", at positions 1786 to 1831 of the family's 1831-position model. The record is from RNAcentral. Lineage: Eukaryota; Fungi.
AAGUCGUAACAAGGUUUCCGUAGGUGAACCUGCGGAAGGAUCAUUAACACUCCAAAACCCUCAUAGCUCUGGGAAACCAGGGUUUAUGAAACCCUAUUCACUUUAACGAACCCGCGAAGUGGAGAGGUCACUCUCUCCAUUUUUGCACUUUUCUUUUGUCCCUUUGUUUUUUAACCCCUUGAAUCUUAUCAGUCUGAAACUUUUUUUUUCUGUUCGCAAGGACGAAAAAAAAAACAAACGAAACAAAGAACAACUCUUAGCAACGGAUAUCUUGGUUCUC